This 332-nucleotide ribosomal RNA is filed under the name uncultured bacterium. Its description in RNAcentral is "bacterial SSU rRNA". It matches the Rfam family "Bacterial small subunit ribosomal RNA", at positions 568 to 898 of the family's 1533-position model. The record is from RNAcentral.
CGUGUAGGCGGCUUUGCAAGUCGGGUGUGAAAUCCCUCAGCUCAACUGAGGAAGUGCGCCCGAAACUGCAGAGCUUGAGUACCGGAGAGGAUGGCGGAAUUCCCCAAGUAGAGGUGAAAUUCGUAGAUAUGGGGAGGAACACCGGUGGCGAAGGCGGCCAUCUGGACGGAUACUGACGCUGAGACGCGAAAGCGUGGGUAGCAAACAGGAUUAGAUACCCUGGUAGUCCACGCCGUAAACGAUGAGAACUAGGUGUCGUGGGUGUUGACCCCCGCGGUGCCGUAGCUAACGCAUUAAGUUCUCCGCCUGGGAAGUACGGCCGCAAGGCUAAA